UACGGAGGGGGCUAGCGUUGUUCGGAAUUACUGGGCGUUAAGCGCACGUAGGCGGACUGUUAAGUCGGGGGUGAAAUCCUGGGGCUCAACCUCAGAAUUGCCUCCGAUACUGGCAGUCUCGAGUGCGGGAGAGGUGAGUGGAAUUCCCAGUGUAGAGGUGAAAUUCGUAGAUAUUGGGAAGAACACCAGUGGCGAAGGCGGCUCACUGGCCCGUAACUGACGCUGAGGUGCGAAAGCGUGGGGAGCAAACAGG
Molecule: ribosomal RNA, 253 nt
Filed under: uncultured bacterium
Lineage: Bacteria
Description: partial 16S ribosomal RNA
Rfam family: Bacterial small subunit ribosomal RNA
Source: RNAcentral